RNAcentral lists this ribosomal RNA (519 nucleotides) under uncultured eukaryote. Its description in RNAcentral is "SSU rRNA". It matches the Rfam family "Eukaryotic small subunit ribosomal RNA", at positions 1161 to 1699 of the family's 1831-position model. The record is from RNAcentral.
AGGGCACCACCAGGAGUGGAGCCUGCGGCUUAAUUUGACUCAACACGGGGAAACUUACCCGGCCUGGACACUGGAAGGAUUGACAGAUUGAGAGCUCUUUCUUGAUUCAGUGGGUGGUGGUGCAUGGCCGUCCUUAGUUGGUGGAGCGAUUUGUCUGGUUAAUUCCGAUAACGAACGAGACUCUAGCCUAUUAAAUAGGCUCCCGGCUUUUAAACGCCGGGAGGACUUCUUAGAUGGACAGGUGGCGGUUCAGCCGCACGAAAGAGAGCAAUAACAGGUCUGUGAUGCCCUUUGUUGUCCGGGGCCGCACGCGCGCUACACUGAAGAGAUCAGCGUGCUUUAUGUUCCUGCUCCGACCGGAGUGGGGAACCCAGUGAACCUUCUUCGUGAUUGGGAUAGAAGAUUGUAAUUAUUCGUCUUGAACGAGGAAUUCCCAGUAAAUGCGAGUCAUAAGCUCGCGUUGAUUACGUCCCUGCCCUUUGUACACACCGCCCGUCGCUACUACCGAUUGAACGAUUU